UAAGUCCCGUAACGAGCGCAACCCUUGUCCUUUGUUGCCAGCACGUAAUGGUGGGAACUCAAAGGAGACUGCCGGUGACAAACCGGAGGAAGGUGGGGACGACGUCAAGUCAUCAUGGCCCUUACGUCCUGGGCUACACACGUGCUACAAUGGCAGGUACAGACGGUUGCGAGACCGCGAGGUGGAGCUAAUCCGAGAAAACCUGUCGUAGUCCGGAUCGGAGUCUGCAACUCGACUCCAUGAAGUCGGCAUCGCUAGUAAUCGUGAAUCAGAAUGUCACGGUGAAUACGUUCCCGGGCCUUGUACACACCGCCCGUCACACCAUGGGAGUGGGUUGCUCCAGAAGUGGCUAGUCUAACCUUUGGGAGGACGGUCACCACGGAGUGAUUCAUGACUGGGGUGAAGUCGUAACAAGGUAACCGUA
RNAcentral lists this non-coding RNA (424 nucleotides) under Pseudoponticoccus marisrubri. RNAcentral's name for it is "Ponticoccus sp. SJ5A-1 Bacterial small subunit ribosomal RNA". It matches the Rfam family "Bacterial small subunit ribosomal RNA", at positions 1081 to 1504 of the family's 1533-position model. Lineage: Bacteria; Pseudomonadati; Pseudomonadota; Alphaproteobacteria; Rhodobacterales; Roseobacteraceae. The record is from Rfam by way of RNAcentral.